Molecule: long non-coding RNA, 200 nt
Filed under: Lathyrus oleraceus (garden pea)
Lineage: Eukaryota; Viridiplantae; Streptophyta; Magnoliopsida; Fabales; Fabaceae
Description: Pisum sativum (pea) long non-coding RNA (PSAT_LNC017246)
Source: RNAcentral
CACUAACCGCACCGGAAAUCCUCAAGAACCCUAGCUAUAAAUACUUAAAUUAAAUCCUUCUUUUGAGGAUUCAGAGCCCAAGGGAUUAGAGCUUUGAAUCAUCUCUCAAUGCUCUACAUCACGUCAACAUGAAAUUGAAGAAAAGUGAAGGUUUCAGGGAUUACCUUGCCAGAGAUGACGAAGACGACGGUGAAGGAAUU